GAGGGGGUCGCAUAGUGGUUAAUUGCAGCGGACUGUAAAUCCGCCCUCAUUCGAGUUCGUAGGUUCGAAUCCUACUCCCUUCA
RNAcentral lists this transfer RNA (83 nucleotides) under Bacteriophage sp. RNAcentral describes it as "tRNA-Tyr". It matches the Rfam family "tRNA". Rfam says of the family: Transfer RNA (tRNA) molecules are approximately 80 nucleotides in length. Their secondary structure includes four short double-helical elements and three loops (D, anti-codon, and T loops). Further hydrogen bonds mediate the characteristic L-shaped molecular structure. tRNAs have two regions of fundamental functional importance: the anti-codon, which is responsible for specific mRNA codon recognition, and the 3' end, to which the tRNAs corresponding amino acid is attached (by aminoacyl-tRNA synthetases). tRNAs cope with the degeneracy of the genetic code in two manners: having more than one tRNA (with a specific anti-codon) for a particular amino acid; and 'wobble' base-pairing, i.e. permitting non-standard base-pairing at the 3rd anti-codon position. The record is from RNAcentral.